RNAcentral lists this ribosomal RNA (1237 nucleotides) under metagenome. RNAcentral describes it as "bacterial LSU rRNA". It matches the Rfam family "Bacterial large subunit ribosomal RNA", at positions 1564 to 2808 of the family's 2925-position model. The record is from RNAcentral.
UGAGUACGAGACGCUAAGGCGUUGAAGCAGUCUAUGUCAGACUUCCAAGAAAAGCUCGCAAUGUCAUAAACGAAAAAUGCCUGUACCAUAACCGACACAGGUGGGUAGGUAGAGUAUACUAAGGGGCGCGAGAUAACUCUCUCUAAGGAACUCGGCAAAAUGACUCCGUAACUUCGGGAGAAGGAGUGCCUUAUUUUUAUAAGGUUGCAAUAACAAGAUCCAAGCAACUGUUUACCAAAAACACAGGUCUCCGCUAAGUCGUAAGACGAUGUAUGGGGGCUGACGCCUGCCCAGUGCCAGAAGGUUAAAGAAGUUGGUUAGUUUCGGCGAAGCUGAUGACUGAAGCCCUGGUGAACGGCGGCCGUAACGAUAGCGGUCCUAAGGUAGCGAAAUUCCUUGUCGGGUAAGUUCCGACCCGCACGAAAGGCGUAAUGAUUUGGAUACUGUCUCGGAGAGGGGCUCGGUGAAAUAGACUUGUCUGUGAAGAUGCGGACUACCUGCACCUGGACAGAAAGACCCUAUGAAGCUUUACUGUAACUUGAGAUUGAAAUUGGACUUUAUUUGCGCAGUAUAGGUGGGAGACGUUGAGAAUAUUCUUGCGGGAAUAUUGGAGUCAUCAGUGAGAUACCACUCUUGUAAUGUUAGAUUUCUAACUUUGUAUCAUUAUCUGGUCAAAGGACAGUUUCAGGCGGGCAGUUUGACUGGGGCGGUCGCCUCCCAAACGGUAACGGAGGCGCACAAAGGUUUCCUCUGAACGUGUAGAAAUCGUAUCUAGAGUGUAAAGGCAUAAGGAAGCUUGACUGUGAGACCUACAAGUCGAGCAGGGACGAAAGUCGGUCUUAGUGAUCUGACGGUGCUGAGUGGAAAGGCCGUCACUCAACGGAUAAAAGUUACUCUAAGGAUAACAGGCUGAUCUCCCCCAAGAGUUCACAUCGACGGGGAGGUUUGGCACCUCGAUGUCGGCUCAUCGCAUCCUGGGGCGGUAGUACGUCCCAAGGGUUGGGCUGUUCGCCCAUGAAAGCGGUACGCGAGCUGGGUUCAGAACGUCGUGAGACAGUUCGGUCCAUAUCCGGUGUAGGCGUUAGAAUAUUGAGAGGAGCCUUCUUUAGUACGAGAGGACCGAGAAGGACAUACCUCUGGUGUACCAGUUAUCGUGCCAACGGUAAACGCUGGGUAGCUAUGUAUGGAGUGGAUAACCGCUGAAAGCAUCUAAGUGGGAAGCCCACCUCAAGAUAAG